ACGCUCGACACCUACUGGAGGCAGCAGUGGGGAAUAUUGGGCAAUGGGCGCAAGCCUGACCCAGCAAUGCCGCGUGAAGGAAGAAGGCUUUCGGGUUGUAAACUUCUUUUGUCAGGGAAGAGUAGAAGACGGUACCUGACGAAUAAGCCACGGCUAACUACGUGCUAGCACGCCGGACGGUAAUCUGAGGCGGGCGUGGACGAAGGC
This 207-nucleotide ribosomal RNA is filed under the name uncultured bacterium. Its description in RNAcentral is "partial 16S ribosomal RNA". It matches the Rfam family "Bacterial small subunit ribosomal RNA", at positions 328 to 538 of the family's 1533-position model. The record is from RNAcentral.